Molecule: long non-coding RNA, 534 nt
Organism: Monodelphis domestica (gray short-tailed opossum)
Lineage: Eukaryota; Metazoa; Chordata; Mammalia; Didelphimorphia; Didelphidae
Source: Ensembl
CACAUAUGUAGAGAAUUGUUUAUGUGUGUGUACCAAAAAGCCUAUAUAAUAAAUGUAUCAUAGUACUAUGGCAGAGCACUGUGUGUGAUGCUGAAUGAAUGAACAUGGGCUGAAUGCACGGUGUGUCUCAUCUCAUUUAUCCAACUGUGACGUCAUACUUGGGCAGACAGACCCUGGGUCCUCAGAGAGGCUGCUGGACAGACCUCUGUACCUUCCCAAUACGGGGAACAGGAAGCCAGUUGCUGGAGGGACUGGUUGAAGUGUAGCACUUCCUCCUUCUCGACAGAGCCCAAUGGAGUCUAGACCUGACCCACACUGCCCAGAUCUUUGGAUUAAGAAGGAAAGGACAAAAAUGGCCAAUAAGGAGUGGAAGCACAAGAGAAUGUUCCAACUUGCAUUAUUGGAAGGAGUUUCCUUAUUUGGAGUUCUAUGUGUGAAUGAUGUAAAAAAUCCAGGUCUUCUCCUCUUGAUUAUCUCCAAGAAACCUUUCCAAGCUAAAAUUAUAUGGAAACAAAAAGACCUCUUGUUAUGUCA